This 252-nucleotide ribosomal RNA is filed under the name uncultured Odoribacter sp. RNAcentral's name for it is "partial 16S ribosomal RNA". It matches the Rfam family "Bacterial small subunit ribosomal RNA", at positions 524 to 776 of the family's 1533-position model. The record is from RNAcentral. Lineage: Bacteria; Pseudomonadati; Bacteroidota; Bacteroidia; Bacteroidales; Odoribacteraceae.
UACGUAGGGGGCAAGCGUUAUCCGGAUUUAUUGGGUUUAAAGGGUGCGUAGGCGGUUUUUUAAGUUAGUGGUUAAACGUCGGGGCUUCACCUUGAUUUGCCAUUAAUACUGUAAGACUCGAGUUCAGACGAGGUAGGCGGAAUAAGUUAAGUAGCGGUGAAAUGCAUAGAUAUAACUUAGAACACCGAUAGCGAAGGCAGCUUACCAGACUGAGUCUGACGCUGAUGCACGAGAGCAUGGGUAGCGAACAGG